This 320-nucleotide long non-coding RNA is filed under the name Malus domestica (apple). RNAcentral describes it as "long non-coding RNA (MDOM_LNC001426)". The record is from RNAcentral. Lineage: Eukaryota; Viridiplantae; Streptophyta; Magnoliopsida; Rosales; Rosaceae.
UAAAUACUAAAAACAUAUACUACAAGGGUUGCAACAGGUUAUUCUACAACAGCAACACGGUCGUACCUUCGGACAUUUAGGGCAAGAGCAUUUCCAUUUGCAACAAUUUGCGCAGGAGCAAUCGGGACAUGAACAGGACGGGAAAAUGCAACAGUUUGCGCAAGAGCAAUCGGGACAUGAACAGGAUGGAAAAAUGCAACAAUUUCUGCUGCAUGAAAUAUUUUUGCAGCACUUGGAGCGGGGACAUGAGCAGCAACAUCGCCACUUUGGUAGCGGACAGCAGGCACAUGGAUUACAGUUACACAGACCGCAGUCACAGC